This 1596-nucleotide ribosomal RNA is filed under the name Scolopax mira (Amami woodcock). Its description in RNAcentral is "16S rRNA". It matches the Rfam family "Bacterial large subunit ribosomal RNA". Lineage: Eukaryota; Metazoa; Chordata; Aves; Charadriiformes; Scolopacidae. The record is from RNAcentral.
AGCAUACUCUAGCCCAACACACUAAGACUAGAAUGUCGAUUAAAAAUUUACCUCAAGACCUAGACUAAAACAUUCUUCAAACCUAGUAUAGGCGAUAGAAAAGGCACUUUGGCGCGAUAGAAAUUUUGUACCGUAAGGGAGAGAUGAAAUAACAAUGAAAACCAAAGCAACAGAUAGCAAAGAUAAACUCUUGUACCUUUUGCAUCAUGAUUUAGCAAGAAAUAGCCAAGCAAAACGAAUUUAAGCUUGCAACCCCGAAACCCGAGCGAGCUACUCGCGAGCAGCUAUUUAUGAGCAAACCCGUCUCUGUCGCAAAAGAGUGGGAUGACUUGCCAGUAGAGGUGAAAAGCCAAUCGAGCCGGGUGAUAGCUGGUUGCCUGUGAAACGAAUCUAAGUUCUCUCUUAACCCACUUCCCUAUAGAACACAAUCUUGAACCUAAAUGUAAUAAGUCAAGAGUAACUUAAAGGGGGUACAGCCCCUUUAAAAAAGAAAACAAUCUCCACUAGAGGAUAACCAGCCAAAUCCACCAAACCGUGGGCCUUCAAGCAGCCAUCAACAAAGAGUGCGUCACAGCUCUAUUCGUAAAAAUCCAACAACAAAAUGAUUCCCUUACCACUAACAGGCCAAUCUAUGUAAAUAGAAGAAUCAAUGCUAAAAUGAGUAACUAGGGAAACUUACCCUCUUAAGCGCAAACUUACAUCACUACAUUAUUAACAGACCAAGCCAAUAUUUCAACUUCUACAAGAUUAAAAUAUUAAACCCCCACCCUGUUACCCCAACACAGGAGCGCUCACUAGAAAGAUUAAAAUCUGUAAGAGGAACUAGGCAAACAUAGGGCCCGACUGUUUACCAAAAACAUAGCCUUCAGCCAACCAAGUAUUGAAGGUGACGCCUGCCCAGUGACAUAAUGUUCAACGGCCGCGGUAUCCUAACCGUGCGAAGGUAGCGCAAUCAAUUGUCCCAUAAAUCGAGACUUGUAUGAACGGCUAAACGAGGUCCUAACUGUCUUUUACAGAUAAUCAGUGAAAUUGAUCUCUCUGUGCAAAAGCAGAGAUAAGCACAUAAGACGAGAAGACCCUGUGGAACUUAAAAAUCAGUGACCACUAUUUAUUAACUUCAAACCUACAGGCCCAUUACUUAACAACGCUGGCCCACAUUUUUCGGUUGGGGCGACCUUGGAGAAAAGCAAAUCCUCCAAAAAUAAGACCACACCUCUUAACCAAGAGCCACUCCUCAACGUACUAAUAGUAACCAGACCCAAUAUAAUUGAUAAAUGGACCAAGCUACCCCAGGGAUAACAGCGCAAUCCCCUCUAAGAGCCCCCAUCGACGAGGGGGUUUACGACCUCGAUGUUGGAUCAGGACAUCCUAAUGGUGCAGCCGCUAUUAAGGGUUCGUUUGUUCAACGAUUAAUAGUCCUACGUGAUCUGAGUUCAGACCGGAGCAAUCCAGGUCGGUUUCUAUCUAUGACAGACUUCCCCUAGUACGAAAGGACCGGGAAAGUGGGGCCAAUGCUCUAAGUACGCCCUCUUUUAAAGUAAUGAACUCAACUAAAUUACUAAAAAACUAACAACACAAACUCCUAGAAAAGGACCU